This 1421-nucleotide ribosomal RNA is filed under the name metagenome. RNAcentral describes it as "bacterial LSU rRNA". It matches the Rfam family "Bacterial large subunit ribosomal RNA", at positions 1481 to 2925 of the family's 2925-position model. The record is from RNAcentral.
AAAAGCACGGGCCGGGAAUGGAAAGACCGGUACAAGCGGGGUAGGAGUACAAUAGGCAAAUCCGUUGUAUGAUCCGAAGACGUGAUGUGGAGCGAAAUAAAGUAGUGAAGCGUGUGAGCCAUGUGCCGAGAAAAGCUGCUAUUGUGUAAUGCGUGCCCGUACCGUAAACCGACACAGGUGGAUGAGGAGAGAAUCCUAAGGCCGACGGAAGAAGCAUUGUUAAGGAAUUCGGCAAAAUGACACCGUAACUUCGGGAGAAGGGGUGCCUGCGAGAGCAGGCCGCAGAGAAUAGGCUCAAGCAACUGUUUAGCAAAAACACAGGUCUAUGCGAAACCGAAAGGUGAAGUAUAUGGGCUGACGCCUGCCCGGUGCUGGAAGGUUAAGAGGAGAGGUUAGCGAAAGCGAGGCUUUGAAUUUAAGCCCCAGUAAACGGCGGCCGUAACAAUAACGGUCCUAAGGUAGCGAAAUUCCUUGUCGGGUAAGUUCCGACCCGCACGAAAGGCGUAAUGAUUUGAGCACUGUCUCGACAAUGCAUCCGGUGGAAUUGAAGUACCAGUGAAGAUGCUGGUUACCCGCGCCAGGACGGAAAGACCCCAUGGAGCUUUACUCCAGUUUGAUACUGGGAUUCGGUACUGCAUGUACAGGAUAGGUGGGAGACGGAGAAGGAUGGACGCCAGUCUGUCCGGAGUCGCUGUUGGGAUACCACCCCUGUAGUACUGGGUUUCUAACCAGUUACCAUGAUCUGGUAAUGGGACAAUGUCAGGCGGGGAGUUUGACUGGGGCGGUCGCCUCCGAAAGGGUAUCGGAGGCGCUCAAAGGUUCCCUCAGAAUGGUUGGAAACCAUUUGAAGAGUGCAAAGGCAGAAGGGAGCUUGACUGCGACACCGACGGGUGGAGCAGGUACGAAAGUAGGACUUAGUGAUCCGGUGGUAUAAAGUGGGAUUGCCAUCGCUCAACGGAUAAAAGCUACCCUGGGAUAACAGGCUUAUCACUCCCAAGAGUUCACAUCGACGGAGUGGUUUGGCACCUCGAUGUCGGCUCAUCGCAUCCUGGGGCUGUAGCAGGUCCCAAGGGUUGGGCUGUUCGCCCAUUAAAGCGGUACGCGAGCUGGGUUCAGAACGUCGUGAGACAGUUCGGUCCCUAUCCGGCGCGGGCGGAGGAUAUUUGAGAGGAGCUGUCCUUAGUACGAGAGGACCGGGAUGGACGGACCACUGGUGUAUCUGUUGUCGACCAACGGCAUGGCAGAGUAGCCAAGUCUGGAAGGGAUAAACGCUGAGGGCAUCUAAGCGUGAAGCCCCCCUCAAGAUGAGAUAUCCCUCCUUCGGGAGUAAGACCCCUUGAAGACUACAAGGUAGAUAGGGCAGAGGUGGAAGCAUGGCAACAUGUGGAGCUGACUGUUACUAAUAGGUCGAGGGCUUAAUU